GGUCCUUGACCUGGGUAGAAGGGCACCUGGUCAGUGUUGCCAACCUCAUAUCCUUCUGGGGCAAAGCAAUUCCUUGUUUAUCCCAGCUUGGCUUUUGGUCUGUGCCAGUGCCUGAUUCAUGCCCUGGACACAUAA
This 135-nucleotide small nucleolar RNA is filed under the name Suricata suricatta (meerkat). Its description in RNAcentral is "Small nucleolar RNA SNORA48 (ENSSSUG00005023377.1)". It matches the Rfam family "Small nucleolar RNA SNORA48". Rfam says of the family: The snoRNA ACA 48 has been identified to guide pseudouridylation of the residue U3797 in the 28S rRNA subunit. Its host gene EIF4A1 (eukaryotic translation initiation factor 4A1) is shared with U67 and snoRNA mgU6-77 Lineage: Eukaryota; Metazoa; Chordata; Mammalia; Carnivora; Herpestidae. The record is from Rfam by way of RNAcentral.